CCUUGUACACACCGCCCGUCAAGCCACGAAAGUCGGAAGCACCCGAAGUCACCGAUCCAACCCGCAAGGGAGGAAGGUGCCGAAGGUGAGUUCGAUGAUUGGGACU
RNAcentral lists this ribosomal RNA (106 nucleotides) under uncultured bacterium. Its description in RNAcentral is "partial 16S ribosomal RNA". It matches the Rfam family "Bacterial small subunit ribosomal RNA", at positions 1379 to 1482 of the family's 1533-position model. The record is from RNAcentral.